GAUCAUGGCUCAGGAUGAACGCUGGCGGCGUGCCUAAUACAUGCAAGUGAAACGGGUAUCUUCGGAUACCAGUCGCGGACGGGUGAGUAAUACAUAGGCAACCUGCCUUUAUGAGGGGGAUAACCGAGGGAAACUUUGGCUAAUACCGCAUGAAGACUCUAAGGCAUCUUAGAGGGAUAAAAGUUGGGAAACAACGCAUGAAGAUGGGCUUAUGGCGCAUUAGCUAGUUGGUGAGAUAGAAGCCCGCCAAGGUAAUGAUGCGUAGCCGACCUGAGAGGGUGAACGGCCACAUUGGGACUGAGACACGGCCCAAACUCCUACGGGAGGCAGCAGUAGGGAAUUUUCGGCAAUGGGGGGAACCCUGACCGAGCAACGCCGCGUGAAGGAAGAAGGUUUUCGGAUUGUAAACUUCUGUUAUAAGGGAAGAACGGAUUGGAUAGGGAAUGAUCUGAUAGUGACGGUACCUUAUUAGAAAGCCACGGCUAACUACGUGCCAGCAGCCGC
This 504-nucleotide ribosomal RNA is filed under the name uncultured bacterium. Its description in RNAcentral is "bacterial SSU rRNA". It matches the Rfam family "Bacterial small subunit ribosomal RNA", at positions 15 to 518 of the family's 1533-position model. The record is from RNAcentral.